RNAcentral lists this non-coding RNA (307 nucleotides) under Pongo abelii (Sumatran orangutan). The record is from RNAcentral. Lineage: Eukaryota; Metazoa; Chordata; Mammalia; Primates; Hominidae.
GUAAGGAACCCAGCUUCUGUGUGGUGGGCACUGAGAGCAGAACCGCAUUGAGUCGAAGUGGAGCACGGAAGUGAGUCCCAGGACACCGGAACCAGGACUCCCCGGCGCGCCCGGAGAGUUUCCGAGCUCGUUUGAAGUAUGAAUUAGAACUUCUGGAUGGGAAUCCUGGAGCCACCACCUGCCCUAUGGUCGCAAUGGGCAAGUCACUCAACCUCCCAGAUCCUGUUUUCUCAUGAGUAAAACGGGGAUUAUAAUAUCCACCUGACAAUAUUAUUUUUGUGAGAAUUAAAUGAGUUUAGAAUGUAAA